Hipposideros armiger (great roundleaf bat) is the source of this 4695-nucleotide RNA transcript. It is a transcript of the gene named Rh family C glycoprotein, with no coding region annotated. The record is from RefSeq and is a predicted model, not a curated record. NCBI's taxonomy places the organism in Eukaryota, Metazoa, Chordata, Mammalia, Chiroptera, Hipposideridae. The transcript is spliced from 12 exons.
CCCGCCUCGAGCGUUGGGACCCACCGCAGCCCUCCCGGCCAGGCGUCCCCUGCAGCAUGGUCUGGAACACCAACCUCCGCUGGCGGCUGCCGCUCGCCUGCCUGCUCCUGCAGGCGGCCUUGGUGGUCCUCUUCGGUGUGUUCGUGCGCUACAGCCCCGAUGCCGACGCCCACUGGAUCGAGGAUAAGAGGUCCAGGAACAUUUCCAGCGACGUUGACAACGAAUUCUACUAUCGCUACCCUAGCUUCCAGGAUGUGCACGUGAUGAUCUUCGUGGGUUUCGGCUUCCUCAUGACCUUCCUGCAGCGUUACGGCUACAGUUCCGUGGGCUUCAACUUCCUGCUGGCGGCCUUCGGCAUCCAGUGGGCGCUGCUCAUGCAGGGCUGGUUUCACUCCUUCCAUAACGGCUACAUUCUCGUGGGCGUGGAGAACCUCAUCAAUGCCGACUUCUGUGUGGGCUCCGUCUGUGUGGCCUUUGGGGCACUUCUGGGCAAAGUCAGCCCUAUCCAGCUGCUCAUCAUGACACUCUUUCAAGUGACCCUCUUCUCGGUGAAUGAAUUCAUCCUCCUCAGCCUGCUAAAGGUGAAGGAUGCAGGGGGCUCCAUGACCAUCCACACAUUCGGUGCCUACUUUGGGCUCACAGUGACCUGGAUCCUCUACCGACCCAACCUGUACCGCAGCAAGGAGAGGCAGAGCGCUGUAUACCAAUCGGACCUCUUUGCCAUGAUCGGUACGCUCUUCCUGUGGAUGUACUGGCCCAGCUUCAACUCAGCGGUGUCCAAUCACGGAGACGCCCAGCACCGAGCCGCCAUCAACACCUACUGCUCCUUGGCAGCCUGUGUGCUCACCGCCGUGGCACUGUCCAGCGCCCUGCACAAGAAGGGCAAGCUGGACAUGGUGCACAUCCAGAAUGCCACGCUGGCAGGAGGGGUGGCCGUGGGCACUGCCGCCGAGAUGAUGCUCAUGCCUUACGGCUCCCUCAUCGUUGGCUUCAUCUGUGGCAUCAUCUCCACCCUGGGUUUCGUGUACCUGAUGCCAUUCCUGGAGUCACGCCUACGGAUCCAGGACACGUGCGGCAUCCACAACCUGCACGGCAUUCCCGGCAUCAUAGGUGGCAUUGUGGGGGCUGUGACGGCGGCCUGCGCCAACGUUCACACAUACGGACAGGAAGGGCUUGUCCAUGCCUUUGACUUUGAACCUGGCGAUGCUUACCGGUCCCCAAGCUUGCAGGGCAGUUUCCAGGCUGCUGGCAUCUUCGUGUCCCUGGCCAUGGCUCUGGUGGGCGGCAUCAUUGUGGGGAUGAUUCUGAAACUACCGAUCUGGGGACAACCUGCUGACGAGAACUGCUUUGAUGAUACGGUCUACUGGGAGGUGCCCGAGGAAGAAAAGAAGGAGGUCUUCCAUCCUGAGGACCCUACCCUCAAGCCAGCAGAACCUUAAAGCUCCCAGGGCAGGCGGGAAGCAGGUUGGUGAGCUCCCCAUCGUCAGGGCUUCCUGGAUCCCAGCGAACGCCCCCAAUUCCGCCUUUCAGAGCUCCUGGAACGGGUCAGUGCCGGAAGUCUGCCACUGACCCAGCGGACAGGUAGUGCUGGCUUCACCUGGACUUCAUGUGCAGAGAAACAGCGGGACUCAGGAAAGGCAAAGAAUUGCAGUCACUGGAGAGGGGACAUCUCAGCUGGGGCUGACAACUGAAAGCAGAAGCCACGCAGUCAGAGGGCUGCAGACAUGUCCCAGGGCACCAAGGACAACUGGCGUGGCUUCCUUCUGGACACCAGCCCUACAUCGCGACCCUCUUCUGACUUCUGGGCAAGGGGGGAACCUGUGCAGGGGGAGAACUGGGGCUGGGGGCUACAUCCAAGCCCCCUUGCCUGCAGCCUUGGGAACAGAGGAAGGGGACUCAGGGAGGCCAAAAGCAAAGGUCUCAAACUGAACAGCCUAUGGGCUACGUAUGCCACCCCUCUAACUGUGGCCUCAAAAUACAAAUCUGCGUUUUUCAAUUGGCAAAUUUCACCUUUAAAAAAUGUUUUCUCUUGAGGACCUGGCAACACUGGACUACGGCAGACCAUUGCACACUCCCCUGUCCUGGGGGGUCCCUCCUCCUUGAACCUGGAUACCUCCUUACAGUUACCUGCCCAGCCUCUGAUAGAGCAGAGAGAGUCUCUGAGCAGGAGAAAGGCCUUAGCUUUCACAUCCAUAUAAUGGGUCGUUACGUGAGUCCAGCGUUAAGAUUGAUCUUUUUGAGCAUCUGACGAAAGACAUGGACCCUCUCCCUAGAGAAAAGGACCUAUGUACAGAUUUGCACAGAAUUUGAGAGGUUCACAUGUCCGUCCCCCUGGGAGCCAUGGACCCCAGGCUAAGAACCCCCUCUGGGCGCUAAGGUCCCUUCUUCCUCUCCCUCAGCUGAGUCCAGGCUCAGGUGGACCCACCAGCUCAGGCCUGACUGCCCGGGCCACCCCUUCUCUCAGUAAAACAGAAGAAACUCUCCCCAUCCUUAGAGGCUGCCGGGGCCAGGCUGGCAGCCGCCCAUCGCCCAUGGAUAUGCAGGAGGGGUCCCCGGGCUGGUGCUGGAUUAGCAUAAAGCCCUCGGGAUGUGAAGGCCCACCGGGAGGCCUGUGUGUGCAGCGCCUGCCUUUGUCCCAGGCCCAGGACCGGUAGGACGGCCCAGGCGGCUCAUACACUUUUGACUGCCAGAUGAAAGGGGGCCACAUAAAGAGGCUGCCUGGGCCGAGCAUGGGGGCGCUUUGUGUCCCUCCAGACGGAGUUACAGACGUCUGUGAAACGUCAAUUACAGCUGAAUAAAGACGUCUGCUCCGUCCAGACGCGCCUCCUUUCAGCUGGGGAGGUGUUUCCAGGCCAGGCCUGGGAUGCCUUUGGGAACCUAAUUUGGCGAUUGUGACUCUGGAAGCGGCCCUGGCAUUCAUCAGUCCGGGGAGGAUGGGAACAGGCUGAGCUGGCCUGACCCAGCCCUGGGGGGUGUCCUGGAAUGCGGGGUGGGGGGAGAAAGGAGCAGCUCAUCCUCCAGGCCAGGCCAAGCCUUGGGGAGGGGACGGGCAGCGGGGCAAUCUGGGAGCCACACAAUCCCCCUGUAUCAGUCAGGCCUCCUUCCCAGGCCUUCGUCAGUGCCAGGCUGGCCCAGUGCCUCUGCAGCUACUGGCUUGGAUCAGGGUUCACUUCCUCCUGAUGGGCUCUUGCCUGAGAUUCAAGUCCCGGGACCACCAGAGAUGCCUGCUGCACUGAUGUCCCUGAGCCACCGGGCCAACCUGGGGACCACCACCCUUCAGCCCUCCUGCUGUGUGAAAUGAAUAAGGCUGCAUUUCUUUAAGCCCUUGUCCCAUCCAUCAGGCUGCUGGUUACUUGCAGCCAGAAACAAUCCUACCUGACAGAGCAGGACGACUCGGGGCUUAUAUUCCUAGUUUUGUACUUUCAGAGUGGGAGAAGAGACUGUGCCACUGACAGCCACCUUGAGGGGAGGUGAGGACCUGGGACAGAGCACUGAUUCCGGGCACAGUGAGCUGAGCUGCCCCUUCCGGGCAGGCGGUUACCCCGGCGGUGGCCUUGCCCCGAGAGACCUGAUUCUUGGGGGGUCUUGGGCAGUACAGGUAUUUCCUGAGGACCCCCAAGCUCCCUGGGACAUCUGUCCUGAAACGUGUCCAGCAGGACCAGGCGACGGACCCUUUGGGCUACAGAGCAUGUGUCACACUCUGAGCAAAAGCCAACGGGCCGCCUUUUACAGGGUAGAGAGCAGAACCCGCUCUAAUAACGAGUGACCUUGCUGCUUACUGAGCACCUACUGUGUACCUGGGUGGACCCCCUCAGAGCUCAGAGGCGGUCCCCUCAGUGGCACAGGGAAGAGCACGGCCACUAGGCCAGCCUGCCAGAUGUGAUCCUGGGGCUGCCGCUUCCCAGGUAGGGGACCUGAGCAAGCAAGCUGACUGCUCUGUGCCUCCUCCGUGUGCAUACCUGCCAGUGUUACCGACACAUUCUAGGACCGACCCUGGCACACCGUGAGCAGGCAGCAGGCUGGGUUUUGAGUCCAGGGGGGGGUCUGUCGCCUGAGCUCACAUACUCUCGGCUUCUCUUAGUCCCAAGGGAUGUGGGCCCUUGUUCCCCAGUUGGGUCUAAACUCAUGGAAGGUGUUGGCUCAGGACAGGUGAGCCCAGUUCCCUCUCUCCCUGUCUCCCACUCACCACUCCUCAGUCCGUUCCUAAUGGCGGUCAAGGUAUCCGUGACCUGCGGACGGGCCCACGCAAGGCCUGUGUGCAUGUGUGUGCGCCCCAGACACAUACGGUUGCGGCCAGGGCCUUGAACCACUGUGACGCUCUGAAGGUGUGACGAGGUGGCCCACAGCGACGCCUGGAUUACGGGGUGAGUCCCAACAUGAGACUGGCCAAGUAAGAAGCAGCCAAGGAAGCUGGAAUAUCCCUGAGGAAGGAAAGGGGACUGCAGUCUGCACCGGACACCCCUGCAGACAGGCCGUAAGUGGUGCCGUCUCGUGGGCACCUCCCAUAAGAGUGGGUCCCCACUGGGGGGGGGGUGCCCUUGAGAGAACUGGGACCAGCUGAUGGGGUGGUGACAUUGUAUGAGCCUGUACGUAAGCAUGUACCAUAUCAACGGAGGCAUCUAAGAUCAUUCGUAUUUCAUUCUUUUGGCUAGCUAAUACUUUCACCUGGUAUAAAAAUAAAAAGGUUUCUAGCAA